AACGAACGCUGGCGGCAGGCUUAACACAUGCAAGUCGAGCGCCCCGCAAGGGGCGCGGCAGACGGGUGAGUAACGCGUGGGAACGUACCCUUAUCUUCGGGAUAGCUCCGGGACACUGGAAUUAAUACCGAAUGUGCCCUUUGGGGGAAAGAUUUAUCGGAUAAGGAUCGGCCCGCGUUGGAUUAGCUAGUUGGUGGGGUAAAGGCCUACCAAGGCGACGAUCCAUAGCUGGUCUGAGAGGAUGAUCAGCCACAUUGGGACCGAGACACGGCCCAAAAUCCUACGGGGGGGAGCAGUGGGGAAUAUUGGGCGAGGGGGGCAAAUCCAGUCCCGCCAUGCCGCGGGAGUGAUGAAGGGCUUAGGGUUGUAAAGCCCUUUCACCGGAAGAGAUAAUGACGGUAUCCGGAGAAGAAGCCCCGGCUAACUUCGUG
RNAcentral lists this ribosomal RNA (431 nucleotides) under uncultured bacterium. RNAcentral describes it as "partial 16S ribosomal RNA". It matches the Rfam family "Bacterial small subunit ribosomal RNA", at positions 29 to 507 of the family's 1533-position model. The record is from RNAcentral.